RNAcentral lists this long non-coding RNA (1558 nucleotides) under Ursus maritimus (polar bear). RNAcentral's name for it is "lncRNA (ENSUMAG00000003600.1)". Lineage: Eukaryota; Metazoa; Chordata; Mammalia; Carnivora; Ursidae. The record is from RNAcentral.
AUGUCAUGUAGGAAAGAGAGGAUAAACAAACAAACAAAAAAAAACAAAAAAAAAGGAAAAAAAAAAAGCUCAUACCCAAAUUCACAAAACCUAUUUUUUAAACCAAAGCACAUUUUGAAUGAGUAUGGAACCUCAAUGGGCUCAGAAAAAAAGAUACUAAUAUAUUUAUCUCAUUGUUUACAUAAACUUUUACAGUUUCAGACCUCAGCAGCUGUAAGGCCAGUCCCAGUGAAUCCCCCGCCUUCCGCUGGAGGCCCUUCUGAGUCGGCUCACAGGCAGAGGGGCAGCCGUGGGGCCGGGGCAGGCAUGGAGUUUCCCCAGAUUCACCUGAGCCCUCCUCCCCAGCCCCGGGCCUCUCAAAGCCCAGCUGGCACCAAAGAGCUUGGGCCUGUGCUGACCGGCCCCCAGGCCUCCUUGCAGGACCGUGGAGGUCCUGGCCAGCUGGCACAGCAGGGGAUGGCCGUCAGCUCUGGCCACAGGACCCAAGUCUGGGCUAGGGCCCUGGGAUGGAGGGCCCCCAUCUCCCCCACUCUGCCCGCGACCCUCAGGGUGGGUUGAUGUGAGGGUCCCUCUCAAGCCAAAAAGCCCUGGGACCUUUGCACAGCUCCGUUGACUCCAGUGGGUCCCCACCCCCAGGGGACACCCCCAUCCCCGGCAGUGGGGGGUCGGGGCUUACUGGGCUGGUCCUUACUAACACAGACGGUGCAAACACUCUGAACAGUGUUGUUUUUGUAUCAAUAUGUUUGUGCAGUGAUGAAUGUAUUUAUUUCUCAGACUUGGGGCGAGUGAGCGGCCGGCUCCGCCACCCCGCCAGACCGAGCCACCGCAAGGGCUCCUCCAGGAUUGCAAAAAAGGUAAAAAAGAAAAGACGAACCUUUAAGCAAAUAAGAAUCUCAGAGACUCGCAGCAUAGCCAUACACCUCAGCCUGUGAAAUGAACAAUCUGGACCCGGACGGACUUUUGGAACCUCACGCAGCCGUGUGUGUGUAUUUCCCGUUCGUCACCACUCGGGGGCGCUGGGCUGUCCCGCUGUGCCCCCGCCCCAACCCCGUCAGUAUUCACUGGACUGGGCCGCGUGCAGGAGUGCGAUCUGGGCUGGGCUGGCUGGGCAGGCAGACCCUACCGCCCUCCCCACAGCCGUCCUGGGUGGGGGAGGCCUGGGCAGCCAGGAGAGCAGGGCUCAGGGAAGAGGUGGCUGCGUCCGUCCGCCCCCUAGGCUUGGGGGACGAAAGCAGAGGCACCAGGCCUCCAAAGAACAGACAAGGGAUCUCAGCCCUGCCGUGCCCCUCAAAGGGACCAGGGCCCUUGCUCUUCCCCAGAGUCACAUUGGGGCAUAUGUUGCUGAACCUGUGAAUCCGAUGUCUGGAGUAAUGGGAUGGAGAGGGACCUAACCAGAGCCUCGGUGUGACAUUCCAGAUCAGGGGGUGGAGUGUGCUGUGGGAAUUGAGGCUGCCCAGGUCCCCCUUCCUAGGACCCCCCCCCCAACUUCAGUCACCACUUUAAUUUUUCUACCGGGAACCCCUCCCCUACCUCACCUUGCUAUUUAUUGCUGUAAUUU